RNAcentral lists this ribosomal RNA (468 nucleotides) under uncultured bacterium. Its description in RNAcentral is "partial 16S ribosomal RNA". It matches the Rfam family "Bacterial small subunit ribosomal RNA", at positions 28 to 507 of the family's 1533-position model. The record is from RNAcentral.
GAUGAACGCUGGCGGCGUGCUUAACACAUGCAAGUCGAACGGAAAGGCCAGUGCUUGCACUGGUACUCGAGUGGCGAACGGGUGAGUAACACGUGGGUGAUCUGCCCUGCACUUCGGGAUAAGCCUGGGAAACUGGGUCUAAUACCGGAUAGGACAAUGGUUUGGAUGCCGUUGUGGAAAGUUUUUUCGGUGUGGGAUGAGCUCGCGGCCUAUCAGCUUGUUGGUGGGGUAAUGGCCUACCAAGGCGUCGACGGGUAGCCGGCCUGAGAGGGUGUACGGCCACAUUGGGACUGAGAGACGGCCCAGACUCCUACGGGAGGCAGCAGUGGGGAAUAUUGCACAAUGGGCGCAAGCCUGAUGCAGCGACGCCGCGUGGGGGAUGACGGCCUUCGGGUUGUAAACUCCUUUCGCUAGGGACGAAGCGUAUUUGUGACGGUACCUGGAGAAGAAGCACCGGCUAACUACGUG